UACGGAGGGUGCAAGCGUUAUCCGGAUUUACUGGGUUUAAAGGGUGCGCAGGCGGAUAUGUAAGUCAGUGGUGAAAUCUUUGGGCUUAACCCGAAAAUUGCCAUUGAUACUAUAUAUCUUGAAUGCUGUGGAGGUAAGCGGAAUAUGUCAUGUAGCGGUGAAAUGCUUAGAUAUGACACAGAACACCGAUUGCGAAGGCAGCUAGCUAGACCGACAUUGACGCUGAGGCACGAAAGCGUGGGGAUCAAACAGG
Molecule: ribosomal RNA, 253 nt
Filed under: uncultured bacterium
Lineage: Bacteria
Description: partial 16S ribosomal RNA
Rfam family: Bacterial small subunit ribosomal RNA
Source: RNAcentral